GAAUUUGGUUAGUCAUAGAACACAUUUACUGGCAUAAAGUAAUGCUGAGUUCCACAGAACAGCGGUUUAGAAUCGAUUUUGCAUAAGCUUGUUUACUUUUUUUGGGUUAGGUUCUCUUGCAGGAUGUCUUGGAACGCAUGCUAAGGAAAUUGCUUUAUUCCCCGAGGAUCGGCCUCAGGUUGAGGUUUACGUGGGUUAAGGAUCAACGUGGCUGCGGCUUGGCACUGACCUGCAGUUUUCUGGUCUGAAGGUCAUUCCCUUCAAGCGGCAGAUGCGUGGGCUGUUCCUGCACUGGCAGUGGCACUCUUCUGGGACGGAGAGGGGACUCAAGGGCAUGCAUUUGCACUCGGUGGGGUUCCACACCAGCCCAAGAGUGCAGGGAACAUCUGGAGGGGAACAUCUGGACAUGGGAGAGAAUGCGUGCAGGCUGAGAUGUGGGUGUAGCUGGUGUUGGUGCACUCCUGGCCCUCGUUGUAACAACAGCCCCCGCAGCGAUGUACGGAGACACAGCGUGGCACGAAGAAGUGACUGGUGCUCUCCACAUACUCCUUUGCCACCUCCACGCACACCUCACGCGGCUGGCAGGCAGUGAGCUGCAUCUCCUUGACGAUCACUGGCAACCAAGAGCAGAGUGACGGGUAGAGACAGCGGACAGCAUUCUCCACCACCCAGCGAGGCAUGAGGCUCGGAUGCCUCUCGGGGAAACCUGCCAGUCUCCUCAUUGGACAGUGGGAGAGUGGGCGUGUCCUGCACCAUCCUCUUGAGGCAGCGCUGCGCCAGCGCGUAUUCAGGGUACAGCAGCUCCAGCAGC
Paramormyrops kingsleyae is the source of this 811-nucleotide long non-coding RNA. RefSeq lists it as uncharacterized. The record is from RefSeq and is a predicted model, not a curated record. Lineage: Eukaryota; Metazoa; Chordata; Actinopteri; Osteoglossiformes; Mormyridae.